Molecule: long non-coding RNA, 3466 nt
Filed under: Salmo salar (Atlantic salmon)
Lineage: Eukaryota; Metazoa; Chordata; Actinopteri; Salmoniformes; Salmonidae
Description: lncRNA (ENSSSAG00000083775.1, ENSSSAG00000099832.1)
Source: RNAcentral
AUUGCCUUACUGGCUGGCAACGUCCUUAUCCCUUGCUUGCUAGCUAGCCAAUUUACAGUCACGUCAAACAGUGCAGACAGAAAAACAACAGUAGCUGCAAUUGUUUAAGCUGUUUUCUAGUGACAUUUAUUUGGAUUCAUCCAUAACAAUGAGCUAAUGUUAUGUGAGGCGCGAUUUCGUCAAGAAACUUGUUCAGAGGAGCUAGCCAACACAAUCACUUCACAUUUUAACUGGAAAGACUGCAAACUACAGUAGCUGCACUUUAUUUCGUUUUAACUUUUUUCAAUUGCCAUUUUUUUUGUGAUGCCAGCUGAUUCAUGAUUUCGACUGGCUGAGAAACGCUGCCUGCCUGUCAAUCUCGUCCCGACUCGUUCAUUACUAUGGGACAGCUGUAGAUCGAAUUUGAAUAUUGAAACGAUAUUGCAAAUAUCGGAGAGACAGACAGCAAGGUUAAUACAAAUCUCUGCUGUUGGAAACUAAAUGUUAUUCUAAAAAAAAUGUGAGAUAAUGUCUAGAUGCUUUUUAUAGUGGAGAUCAAGUUUAUAAUUUGCCUGGCUGGGUUGAUGAGACAGUGGAUUGCGCAGUCAAAUGGAACAGAGUAAAUAGCCAUAUUAACGUCAUAGAUUUAGCUCUUGGUAGCUUGUGGAAUAGACACCGGCUGGGAUGCGCUUUUAACCAGCAUUCAGGGUACAGGAUUAGACCCACCCGUUGUAUAAAACAGACCAACAGACCAACACAUCUUCACACGAAUGUCCACGGUGGGUCUCUGUAAAUUAUGCGAUUAUAUUGGAGACAGUUUAAUAGCGGUGACUGUCAUCAAUUCAUUUACUCUUAUAGUAUUUCUAAGUAGAAUCCAUAUCAGCCAGGGAAACUUUGUGAUAGAACAUUCAGAUUUGUCUGCCUGACUGUGGGACUCUAUACCUGAAUUAUUAGGAUUUUUUUGUGAUCACAACAAAACUAGGUAUUUUGAUCAAAUAUAGAUAUAAUAAAUGUUUAUCUUUCAAAAUAUGGGCCUGGCUGAGAAUAUAACAUUAAGUUUUCUGCCUGAGUGUGGCGCUGUUUACCACAUUUUUUAAAUCAUUUUGUGACUGUAACAAAGCUACUUUUACUCAACUAGAGAUGAAAAUAAAUAGUGUUUCUUUAAAAAGAUGGGCCUGGCUAACAUGGACUGUUUCCUCACCUUAUUCUCCUUGUGGUUAUCCAUGGUUGUUGGUUAUUUGCCAGGUAAAAGUAAUUAUUUUGUAUGUUUUUGCUGGACAUCUAGAGAAUAUUAAUUUAUUAUAAUAAUAAACUACUUUAUUCUGCUAACUGCAUACAAGUACAUUUCCCUGUUAUAGGAAUGGAAUGGAGUUGUAGAGUUGUAAUUUAGAGUUAGAAGAAGUGAAAACUAUACAAGGACUGAAGCAAUAGACUCCUCACUCAACUAGAUAUUGAAAUAAAUUGUGUUUCUUUGAAAAGAUGGGCUUGGCUGAUAUAAAAAUACAUUAAGGGGAAAGGAUCCAAUGACACAGAGGCUGAUUAUCUUUCUGCACAUCUCUUUAUUUACAAUGCUGGCUGCCAUUGUUAACACAAUUGCAGGACAUUAAAUGCUACCUGAAUUUACUAAAAAAAGUAACAUAAGUAGGCCUACAGUAUCACAGCGAGGUCAAACAGGUGUGUGUGUGUGUGUUAGUCAGACUGUCCAGUGUCCACAACAACACUACUGAUUAUUCUCUACCCCCAGUGUAUGUGGUGUACUAUGGUUUUAGGCAUGCGCUCACAAACCCUCAUCUUUUCUCUUUCUCUGUCUCUCCUUCCGGAGGACCUGAGGCUCUUGGACUGCGACUGAGGACACCCCAGCCUGACACCUGAAUGUGCCUGGCCCAAUCCCACCUUGCCCUCCUCUACCAGCCUGUGGCUACCUCCACUGAUUCUUUCUCCCCCUCAAGUCACUAACCUACUCCCCACACACCUAGAAACUUGUAUUUCAUUACUUACCAUAUGACUUUAUGAAAGGCCAUCGGUUCAUGGAGUCUUAAAGUUAAAUCAAAUACAGAUUCGUGCAAACUGGAAGUGUGACUUCUUUCCCCAAUGAUUUCUGAAGGCUGAGCCAUUACAGAACCACCCACCAUCAACGGACCAAGCAGCGUGGGAGAAAGGAGUCAUGGACCUGUGAGGAAAUCCUGGAUGGGGCAGGACCGUGGACAAGGCCGGGAGAAUACCGCCGCCUGCCGGAGGAGAUAGAGGCAGCGAGGGCAGAACGGCGUUUCUGGGAGGAUCGGCUGGCACGGGAAGUGCCAUGCUAGAGUGGGCAUCGAGCCAGGACGGGUUGUGCAGGCCGUGCGCUCCAGACCUCCAGUGCGUCUCCAGGACCCGGUCUAUCCUGUGCCUGCUCCCAGAGCCAGGCCUCCUGCAUGUCUCCCCAGCCUGGUGCGUCCUGUGCCUGCGCCCAGAGCCAGGCCUCCUGCAAGUCUCCCCAGCCUGGUGCGUCCUGUGCCUGCUCCCAGAGCCAGGCCUCCUGCAUGUCUCCCCAGCCUGGUGCGUCCUGUGCCUGCGCCCAGAGCCAGGCCUCCUGCAAGUCUCCCCAGCCUGGUGCGUCCUGUGCCUGCUCCCAGAGCCAGGCCUCCUGCAUGUCUCCCCAGCCUGGUGAGUCCUGUGCCUGCGCCCAGAGCCAGGCCUCCUGCAUGUCUCCCCAGCCUGGUGAGUCCUGUGCCUGCGCCCAGAGCCAGGCCUACUGAAAGGCCCGCCUGUCCGGCGCAGCCAGAGUCGCCCGCCUGUCCGGCGCAGCCAGAGUCGCCCGCCUGUCCGGCGCAGCCAGAGUCGCCCGCCUGUCCGGCGCAGCCAGAGUCGCCCGCCUGUCCGGCGCAGCCAGAGUCGCCCGCCUGUCCGGCGCUGCCGGCGAGGGACCCCGCUCUAGAGGCGCCACCAAAGUGGGGUGAACCAGUGGUGGAGCGGGGUCUGCGUCCCGCUCCUGAGACACCUCCGUAGGGGGGAGGAUUGGGAAGGGGGGUUGUAGCACAAGAACCGUCGUUGACGGUGGCCACCCUCCCUUCCCUCCCUUUUAGUUUGGGGUUGUUUUUGUGUUUUUUUUGUUUUUGUUUGAGGUGCAUUUCGGGGUCUGCAUCUUUGGGGGGGGUGUACUGUCACGUCCUGACCAGUAAAAGGGGUUAUUUGUUAUUGUAGUUUAGUCAGGGCGUGGCAGGGGGUGUUUUUCUGUGUGUUUUGGGGUUACAUUCUAUGUCCUUUUUUGUAUGUUUGGUAUUUCUUUGUUUUUGGCCUGGUAUGGCUCUCAAUCAGGGACAGCUGUACAUCGUUGUCGCUGAUUGGGAGCCAUUCUUAGGUAGCCUGUUUCCCUUUGGGUUUUGUGGGUGGUUUAUUUCUGUUGAGUUAUUUUACCUGACAGAACUGUUUGGCUGUCUUUUGUUUAUUUGUAAAGUGUUCUAAUUUUCCAAUAAAUUACAAAGAUGAGCACUAACCACGCUGCGCC